AGGAGUGGAGCUCACUAACUUGGAUGACACGUCCUGCAUGCAGCAAGUAAACCCAACCCAAGUUCAGUAUUUCAGUUGGGUUAAGGUGGCCGCACCCUUCCCCGAAUAGACUGAAGACUCGCUUUUAGUCAGCCAUGAAAAUCACAGUCAAGCUCUUGAACUUGUCAAUCAGCAGCCCUGCACCUUCUGAGCUAAACACAAAUGAGUCAUAUUUAGCUUUCUUUACAUACAGGUCUGUUCUUGGUGUUUUUUAGGGGGUUUUUUUGUGUCACAAACCCACACAGCUGAUCUUGUUGUUUUGCGCAGCUUUCAUUUUUAUUUCCCACUGUUUCCACUGAGACUGUGGCGUAAUCCCAGUGAAAUGUCUGCCUGGGUAAUCAAUGUCACCCAGCAGUUCCCAUUUGCACUGAUGGGGAGUGUGUGCAAAGCUGAUUCCUGCCGACUCCUCAGAUUCCCGUGGCCACUAAAGGAAGUGAGCUUUGUGGUACAUUUUAUGCCCAGAGGAAAAUGGAAGCUCGUCAUUAAGUUUGAUGAAUCUUCUCUAAUCCAGUGGCUUCGCCGUUCACGACAGGGACUGUAAAAGUUUUUUUUCUUUUUUUAUGUUGCAUUUAAUUUCACAGGAUAAUUGUUCAGCUUAAAGGAGAUCAUCAGGUAAAAAGAGGACAGGGAGGUGAUGGGUGUAGAGUUUUGUUCAGACCAGGUGGUACGACUGACAAGUUAGCUGUGAUUUAUGUAAGUGUUCAGUCUAACAAAAUGCUUUAGACGAUGGUGCAUAACGUCCAUUAUUCUAAAUGUCAGGACUCUUUCAACAGUGUUCAACAAUUUGAUGCAUGACUUAGUUUAAGGUCUAGCCAUGUUUUCAUUCCAGGUCUAGUCCAGUAAUAAUUCAAAGUGAUGAAGUUUGAAUAAGUCUGAGAAAUAUUUUCUUAAAUCUUUAAAAUUCUGUAUAAAAAAAACAACUUAUCUUCACAAAAUAAAAAUAAAAAACAGUUUCUAUUCUUCCAUUAUUAAAUUUCUGGAAUAAUCUGUAUUUACAUUAUAGUCCUGGCAAAAAUAUUGAACAGCAGUGUUUGUGCACUUUCUAUGUAUUUGAGCUGAAUAUUUUGACCAAUUUCUCACCUGUUUUGUAAAUGUUUUAAGCUUCCGAAAGCUUCAAUCCGCACGUCAAACUUACUAUUUGGUGAGAGUAACAAUUUAACGCAGAGACGACAAACCUCCAGCUAGUUGUCCCUCCUUUCCUUGCCAUGAUCUAAAUGUUGAUUUAUUUCCACAUUUUGUCCACAAGACUCACAGGACACUACAGUUCCUUCAGUUUCUGCUUUGUUGUCGCACUUAAAUAUUUCUGAUCAUGAGACUAUUUUAAUAGGAUAAAAAAAACAACACUGAUGAAUAAAAAAAAAGUACAGUUGUCAGACGGUGAUUUGGUUUAUUAUGGGAAAAGGCAAAACAAUUUGUGCAGAAGUUAUUUCUGUGUGGAAAGGAAUCGCUACUCUCAUUAAAUCUGUGAUUAUCCAUUAGGGUUUUUGUUGGUUAAAUUUCACUUGUCAACGCCCGGACCUGCUUCCUAGCGUGUUUGUUUUAGAUUUCCCUACUAAAGCAGAAAAUAAUCGACGCAGAAAAAUAUCUACGAUGACAGGAUGAAUGUUUGCAAUUGAUAGAUUAGUACUCAACCCUGUCCAGACCACAUUUAUUCAACAUAAACUACUGUUUAAACAUAUUUUAGUCAUUUUUUUUGGUACGGACUACAAUUUAUGUCCUGCUAUGCUUAUGAGGAAAAAAGCCACAACAUAAUGCAUGCAGAAUUAAGAAAGAAACUUAAUAAAACAAAUAUUCGAUAGAUGCAAAACAAAGCUAGCCAGGUCUUCUUAAAGAAAACUUUUGUUGAAUCUCAAGUAUUAAAACCUUACAUUAAAGCUACAUUCUUCCAUUUUUAGCUAAAGAUAAUUGUUUUACUAGAUCAGACAAGUUAGAAACCAUAACCCUAUGUUCGAUAAUUAAUGCAUAGGGUUUUGUGUAUCCUCAUCUGCAAAGGAUACUAAAACAAAUACUUGUUUGACGGUACAUGUAACUACUAACAGUGAUUUGAUGCAAAAGGAAACAAAGCCAGUCGUCCAAAAUGUACUAAAACUAGAAAGUACAUGAGAAUUAAAUAAAGUCAAAGGAAUUUAAUUUGCACCUUUCUGAAAACAUUUUAAGCCGUAUAUCUUAAUGCAACUUGAUAUUUCAUAACAGAAUUGAGAGAUGGUGAAACGUUAAGUUGGUACUUAUUCUCAAGACAGACGAUGAUCAUUACUUUGAAACACCUUUCAGAGUAAUGCUUCCACACCAUGAAAUAAAAGAUGUAAUUUUCCCUGCAAAUCUGGGGAAUUUAACUCAGCAUCAUCAGAAUUGUGAGGUUCCACUUUAUUUUUGAGACACAUCUGUCACGUUUUUUUAAUGCGUCGACGCUGAAAACAAAACUGCAGCGGGGUACCAACGCCAAAGCCUCCAGCUCUCCUUUUAGUCUCCAUAGUGAUGUCAAUAUCCCUUUCAUCUUCGCGUCUCAAAGGCUGACCAGAUUUCGUGAUGUGGCCGCUUUAUUGAGCCGGAUCUGCUUUCCUUGCCCCCUCUUUGCCGUUCAAUCAGCAUCCAUGCGGUUGUGGCCUGUGGCUCCGAGCUCGCUGCGUAAUUUGGUUUAGAGCUGAGCGGGAACAUCUGUUUCACAAAGCUGCAGCUCCUUCCACUCCUCGGGCCUCAUGGAGCGAAGCGAGAAACUCAGAACCUGCCGGUCCAAACCCUCUCAAGACCAAUCUGAGCCCUGAGAGGAGAAGAGUGACAGCGCUUUGAAGUGCGGGGUGAAAAUGUGCGAAGUUGGGGCAGGGUUUAUUGCUCAGCUGGCGCCGGUAAUGAAAAAUACUCUUUACUGGCUUCAUACGGAGAGUUGUAGGUUUGAGACGUGUUCUAAAGCCACACAAGCAGCAGAGUUUUAAUUUUUAGUUUUGAGAAACAAAUACGUCUUACUUCUAAUAUAUAAAUAUCACAUUGAUUCACAGCAACUGAGCGCUACAAAACCUGCAUAGUCGCCACAUUUGCACAAUAUUCGCUCCAUUGUAAUUGUGUAUUGAAUUUUUUAAAAAUGUAUUAUUUUGAAUAUUUAGUUUAAAGCUCUAUUUAUCUCCACCCCAAGUGUGGUUGUGUCGUCUGUCUAAGCCCAAGAGGACAAUAAAGCUCUUGACUUGACAAAAGAAAUAUUUAUAUUUGAUUUAUAAUAUUUAUUUCUUAAAUCAGGAGUUGAUCAUCCAGUUUCUCCUUCCCAACAAGUACAAUCAUAGAAAGCCAUGACUAAAUGUGCUCUCCAUGAAGCAAGAAAGAAUGCUAUAAAACUUUGUGCCAAUUUUUAUGUUUUGCUUUUCUGUGUGAGGAUGGAUAGGUUGCAAAUCAUUCAGGACUGAAUGAUUUGGUUGAGUUUAGGAAAACGUUUGGUUUUCUGGCUCCUGGGUUUCAACUUCUGCAAUUUUUCCAAAAUACAAAAAAAAAUAAAUAAAUAAUAAUAAUAAUGUUGGAAUACAAGUAAAAAAAAAGUUAUUUGUCUUCUUGUUGAAAUACUCCAGUUUUAUAACCACCGACUGCUCGAAACCAGUGUAUUAUUAUGAGAACACGUAAGCCUGGGGCAGCUGCUGGGAUGGCUGUGGAUUCUUGUUUUUAACAGUCGCCUGGAGUGCUCCUCUUACAGAAAGCCCGUCUCAUCGCUUUGGAAACUUUCUGCAACCGAACCCUAAUAAUCACCCUCAGAACAUCUUUCACCACACAAUUAGUUAAGUGGUCACAAUUCUCAGUCCAGAGCACAACAAGAAGGAGAGAGAGAGGAUUAAGAAAAGAGGAGAGAGGGAAAAACUCUCACAUAUAUUCCCAAGGUUGACAACAAAGUCGGAGCAGAUGGCCAGCAUCCAGGCCUCGGGAGAAAACUCGUGUUGUUAUUGGUAAUUGUAUUUUAACGGCUCAAAACGUUAGCGCAAAGAAAAGGUACUUUGAAAAAGUGUGGUGUCUUUUUUCAUUGUUUUGACUGGAACAUGUUAUUUAUUCAUUAAAAACAAAACAAAUGUUUAAUAAGAGAAUCUAAGUUGACAGUCUGGCUGCCUCUGUCGUUUUAUAUCUCAUAACCUCUGGCGGUUCUCCCGUGUAUCCGCUGUGUGCUAUCUGAAAUCUGAUAAAGAGGAAACAGCUGUUCUCAGGGCUGCUGUAGAUUUUGAAAGAGCUGCCUCCUCCACAUGUGUUCGCACUGGCAUCAGAAAAAAAAAAAAUCUCCCUACAAUGACCCUUUUUCUAAGUCGUAUUGCAGAGGGGGGAAAAAAAAAUAACAUAAUCGAGUCAAGGUGAAAGGGCAUUCUACACUUAAUUAUAAAAGAACUCAUGAAUUUAGUUUUCCACAGUUGUUUGUGCUCCGUUUUGUUUUAUUUAUCCUAUUUCCACUCUGCUUUAUGUUUGCUGAAUCUUUUUGUCUUUAUGUCUUUAUUUAGAGAAAAGGCAUGAUGUAAAACCAUAACAGACAAGAAGACAUCAUCCUGGAUAAAAUUCAGAAAUAAUAGCGGUUUCUUGACUUGAGGGGCAUGAAGAAGGUUACAUGCAAAUUUUUUCUUCUUGUCCUGGAUAAAACAGACAGAUCAUGAUUGACGGGGUGCAACUGUAACCAUAACACUGGAUAUUUAUCAUUAACGAUUGAAUGUGGAAUGGUACACUGAAAGCUAGCCAAGUAAACCAGGAUGUGUUCUUGGGGGAGUUUUUUUUUUCCUUUGAGUAGAAAGAAGAGCUUCCUGAUGUUGCCAAUGGAUGAACUCAUGCUCUGCAUGAAUGAAAAAUACCAGAUACUGAACGACCGGCUCAGUGCACAUCUGGCGGUUUCUGUUCGGGUACAUCCCUCGGGAAUCCAUCCUUUGCGUGAACGUGCCCAGAUCUCUGUCCGCUGGGGAUGUCUAAAUGAAGUCCAAAGUUUCAGAUUGAAUUACUUUUUUAAAUGAUCUGUACCAUAUCUGCCCUUAUUCUUACUUGUAUAGGAAAGUAUGCCACCUUACAAAUAUGCUAUUCCAAUUUUCCUAAGCUUUUGACAAAGCAAACAUGACCUCCAUCAAAGCAAGGUUGCCACCAAUUUCUUGGGCACGUCCAAAAACACAACAGCAGCUCUGACAUGUUGCUUAAACUCUUGCUCAAAUAACGUGCCACGUAUUUACACAAAGUUCCUCCUUGGAGCUGCAGACUCCAGCUGAGUUUACACAUCACUGAGUACCCCACCUCCCACCUCUCACCCACUCAGCCCCUUCAGACUAGCCAGCAGAAAUUAGUACCAUCUGCUGAGCUCUUUAUACAAGCUACUGAUGAGUCCAGCGCACCUAAGAAUGGUUGUUAACAGCAUAAAGGAUAAUUUCUGAUUUCUUUAAAGUUGUUGUUGAUAUACACAGCAGAAGGCGGCAUAUUUACUUGAUUGUGGUGAAAAAUGGCACGAUGUGCCUGGAAAAACAAAUUGCCGCUCCUUUAAACAAACGUACGCAAAAGGGAUACGACAUGCAGCAAAGGUCCUGAGAUUAGAAACACUGUAAACUAAACUAGAGGAUACUUCACCCUUAAUAUUGACGUACACAACAAAAGACAGACUAUACUUAUAUUUUUCUCUCUUUGUCAUUUGACCGGCCCUGCAUGCUGUGGUCAGAAAGCUGUUAUUGCGGGGGGGAGCCAAACGGAGAGAAGCUGAAACCCUAGUUAUUAAGUUUAAUGACGUUCAAAACAAAGCACUGAAUUUAUGAAGCAGGAGAACAAGUUUUCUGUAAAAAACUAGAACUGCGUUGGACAUGUUUACCCCUUCAGCAAGUAAAGGUGUCUGGCAGAAGCCAUAGCUGGAUACUACAGUAACGUCGCACUGAUUUAGACAAAUCUUGUUGGACAAUAAGAUGCAUUGCUGUCAAGAUAAAUAGAUAUUUGCUGGAAACCUUUUAGUGAGUUAGUUAAAUGCGACAUUAUUUAUCAUCCUGGCAGCUGAUUGGACCUUCCAGAUAAACUGGCUGGCACAUUAUACAAUCUUUUACGAGGUGUCUCUUGCUCCACGUUGCAGGUGUGUGCAAGUGCAAAAGGAAUAAUAAUCCUUCACUCGUUGAGAUGCAGCUCAUCUGAGUCAAGGCAUUCUUGUAAUUUCUGUCGUUUAUUACAUUGUGGGAGGUUUUCCUUUUCUUUCUGUCAGCAUGAUGAGCUGCAUGUCUUUAAUCAAGUGUUGGUGUCACUCACAGUUCAGGUACCCUAAAGUUUAUACACACUGGUUAAACCACUCCUCUUGGUAAUUUUCUGUUCCUAUAGAGUCAGGUCGCUUGACUUGACAGUAUGCAAACCCAAUCGCUGCAGGAUUAGUUUCAACCACUUUGGAAACUUGACGUUCUUCCGACAAGGAGCUCAAGUGAUUUGUGAUCAGUCAAUCAAUCAAUCAAUCAAGCAGCAGGGCACUGGAAACGCUUGUGUCAAAAUAAAAUACCAUACAGUUUUUCUCCUCAAUACAAUUGAUUUUACUGUCUGAAUGACCUGGUUACAUUUAGCCACUGACAUGUCUUCUAAUCAGACCGGGCCUUUGCAUGCAUGCAGAUGAAGCUAAAAGUGGAGCCGGACCAUUUCAACCGGAUCACGUCAUCGGCUUUCUUGACGUAUCUCCAUACAGGAAGACAUCUGUGGUAACAGCGAUUAGUGUUCAUAGCUACAGAUUGCGAGUCCAGGGCUGAAUCUCAUUCUCCUGCUGUCACCGCUAUGCGCACACCUACUCAUGUCAACUGGUUUUUCUCCAGGAUCGCCCUGCAUGUAACUCCAUCCAUCUCCUCACCAAUUCUGUCAAGCUUACUUGUCAGUGCUAAAGAAAAGCCUCGCUUAUAGAAUGAUGCGGCCACCACCGUGCUUUAAACAAGAUUAACUUACACACAGGUGGAUUCUGGAUUUUCUUUAGUAGCUGUCCGAGUUAUGUGAGCUCAAUGCUUUCAUAUUUUUACAUUAAAACAAGUUCAGACCAGAGGCAAAUUUUCAUUCCACUUUACAAUAAAAAUUUGUAUUUUUAUUGGACAUAAUAAUAAUAAUAAUAAUAAUAAUAAUAUCAAUUUAAAAUGUGAAAACACUGCGAGCUGCUUCACGACAAACACUGACAAAUUUUAAAAUAAGCUAUAGGCCACACAGAAAUGUAUUGUUUCUUAUCUCUUUUUAAAUUUUCUCAUGUGCCACUAAGUUGUCGCUGUGCUGACAGCCGCCGAUCGCCCUCUGCACCGAUCGUUGCCUCACCCACUGCCUUCUCCUGCUCUCAGACAGCCCAUCAUUAGCUGUCUGCGCAACACCUGGAGGCAGAGGCAGCGAGAUAAUUAUUGAGGGCAUAGCCAUGUCUGCACGCAACCAUCAUUAAGCCAUCGUACCUCAUUUGGAGCAAAGAGCGGGCCUUGUUGUUGUAAGAAGAGAGAAAGAGAGGCAGAGAGCAACAACGAGGGCCCAGGAUCAACCCCUGACAAGUCAGAUGUGAUACAACAAAUGUCUCUGAGCCUUGAGCUAAUAAAGGCAGGAAUUUGCUGUUGGUUUUUCUUCAGGCAGCAGAUCUGGAGAUGUGCCAGGUCCGAGGGAUGAAGGAAGCUUAUCCCUCAUGUUUAGCAGAGCACAAAUGCACACAUCCAGACAGAGAUGAGUUUGCUUUCUCUGCUUUAAAUAAAGACGAAUUCAGAGUAAGGCAGUCCUAAAAAGUGCCUGCUUUUGGAUGGCUUAGACAUCAGUCUGUGUUUCAGGGGAAAAUAUUGCUUGUUAUAAUUGUUAUUUCAUUUUCUGUACUGACACCGACAGGCCAUGCAGCUUGCACAAGCCAUUUGAGCUCAACAUUGAUAGAUUGGAGUGAGUGUGGAGCAUCUUUGACAUCAUUAAUGACAUCAAAAGACACAAAUUGUUGCUUUGGUCUAUUUUGAAUUUCAACUUAAGAUUUAAGACAAGCAAUGACCUGAACAAACCUUUAGGUCUGUAUUUUUAAGAGUAAAAAUGGGGCAAUAGAGAGCUAAUGCUUUAGUGAAGUAUGUAUGUAAAUUGAGAAAAAUGUGGUUGUGAAAUCUGAAAAAAAAAAUGCUUUGGACUUUGAGAUAAACAACACAGGUUCAGUAGUUUAGCACUCGAUUGUGGUUUAUUGGUAGCUCAUAAAAAGAUGACAGUGACCUUGAACCAUCUAAAUGAUUCCCUUUUAACAAGCUGUGUUCAUUGACAUCAGUUUGGCACAGAGUUUGUGCAGAAUUGUUGCUCAACAUCUGUUUUUAAACAAGUUUUACAGUUUUUUUCCCCCCAGUUUUCUCAUGAAGCUAUAAAGCAUCUCAGUGUUUUUGUCGCACAUUCAACAAGAUGUUGAAAUAAAUUUAUGCUAUCAA
Molecule: long non-coding RNA, 8384 nt
Organism: Poecilia latipinna (sailfin molly)
Lineage: Eukaryota; Metazoa; Chordata; Actinopteri; Cyprinodontiformes; Poeciliidae
Exons: 4
Source: RefSeq, a predicted model, not a curated record